GAAUCUGAAUCACUGACAGCGAGCCUAACCUAACCUAAAAUUAAUAAUCACAGCAUAGGAAUAUACUUAUACUAUACAGCUUAUACUUAUACUGUGUGUGUGUUUAAUUUCAUUACAUACAAAAAUUAUUAUUUGUGAUUUAAAAACGUGCUGCUAUAAAGUAUGGUCGCUUAAUAUCAUUAUUGUAUUAUAUGUGGUCCCGGUAAUGCUAACAUUGAAAAUGAGAGGGACGUGUCUUAUCAUAUUUUUCCAAAGUAUAAUGUAGAUGAGUGAUUAAAAUUGUUCAACCUGCACUCUGAAAGCAUCAAUUUUAAAGUGGGACUGCGCAACUCUACAGUAAGCAUUUUGUUCCUGAAGAUUUUGUACAUGUUGACAAUUAUAGCAAACGUCGGCUUAAAAAAACUGCCAUUCCUACAGUGUUGUAUGUUGACAAGUGCAUUCCUUUAAGCAUUCACGACAAAGACAAGACUACGGUCCUUCUUGUUACAUUUAGUCCAGAGAGUUAGAAUCAUAAACCCAAGUGUAAUUGAUAAAUUUUAAGGAAUUACAUAACAGCAAAAAUAAAGGGAAAUCCUUAAGAGGUUGGUGUGGUAGCCGAAGACGAGUUAUCGUCAAGGGGUACCCUACAUGGGGCUAAUGCAGUCGAUCCCAAGGGCUUAGAAAAACGAAAGGGUCUAAAAGGAUUCGAUCCCUAGAGGAAGAUGAGACGAAGAUAAAAAAGCCUAAGCCCUCGACUAUCUUUGAGUCGUCACAGGAGUUUCAGGUUGCCAUCAUAGAUUGAUCAGAUCUGGAUGGUAGGCUGUCAUCCGACAGGUGGCUCGAGGUUGAGAGGAGGGUCCUGAUGGCAAUUGCUGAUCUUGAAGGAGAUGACAGACGACAAAGAAAUAUCCUUCGAAGGGCGCGGGGUGGCUGAGGGACGUCAAGGUGGUCGGGUGCUCCAACAAGUCUCUUGAUUUUCUAAAAGGAGUAGUCGGUGGCUGCGAGGACCUGUGGCCGGGCUCCAAGCUGGAGGUUAUCCUGAAAUCGUUGCUGCCAUUGAGGAAGAUUGUCGUCUCGGUGUGGGUUCCGCCGCUAAAUCUGGAGUAUCGGAAAACACUGGCGGUCGUACAAAGAAUGAAUAAGGGAGUGAAUACAAAGGAGUGGAAGAUUUUAUCCUCCACCCAAAGUAAAAAUGGAAAAGGCAAGGACAUCGUCAUGUCAGUCGAUGAGGCAUCCCUCUGCACCAUUGCGAGGCGGCCUCGGGGAAUUUGAUGCAGUAUCUGAGAAAGAAGGAUGUAGCCCUGAUCCAAGAACCAUGGCUCUAUAGACACAAAAUUCGAGGAUUGGGGACAAAGGAAUACGAAAUAUUUCGUUCACAAACUGAAGAUAGGAAAGAGUGUGUAUAGUAGCAAAGAAAUCACUAUGUUUCAUUCUACUUUCACAGUAUAGCAACAAUGACCUGACCGUAGUGGCAUGCGAGAAAAAGGGCAAAAACCUACUGCUUCUAGCCUCAGCGUGCAUGCCCUAUGAAGAGAAAGAACCACCAACAGGAGCUAUCAGAGACAUGGUCCAAAGAGAGAGCUCAGAGAAAGCACAUGGUGACAGGAUGUGAUGCCAAUGGACACCCCCAGUGGGAAAGCAAGGAUAUAAACUUUGGCCGCUAACUCGUAGGGUUUAGCGAUGAGAAUUGGAGGGUAACUCCCGAAUACGCGUUUUUGGACCAUGGGAGAAUAUCGUUCGAAAUCAACGCGAACCAGUGGCAGGGAAACCCUCAGGAAUCCUCGGAAAAUCAACUGGAUGGGAUUCGUAGAAAUCGUGGAGAAGAAACUCGGGGAGACGAGACCCAAAUGGGACUCGAGACCCGUACAGCCCUCGAUUGAGAAGCUCGAAGAAACAGUCAGUACACUGAGUGAUAUAUUAUUAAAAGCCUUCAGGAAAUCUUGUAGGACAUAUUUUCAUAUAUAUGGGGGAAAUAUUUUCUGAAAAGUAUUUGUUAUCGUUUCUUCUGAAGAAAAUAAUGAUUGCCUUGUUUAUUACUAGUUUGCACAAAUUCAACGGGCUCAAGGUUAACCUUACCAGUUCUGUCUGCGGGUGUUGAGGGCGCACAAGGAUACAGUCGACCAUCGAAAGCAUUUGGCGUUAGAACAGAGCGAUAGUGCUAGCGCGUUGUACGCUUGACAAACAUAAAACAAUUUAAGUUUUUAUAUUUAGUUGUUAUUUAGUAUAAAAUACUUAACUGUAUUAAUUUAAUAAGCAAGCUAUUGCAAUCAAAAGAUUACGAUUUAAUAUCUGCACUUGAAAUUUUACAAAAUUGCAAAAAAUUCUUUAGGGAUCUAAUCGUAAGAUUCCUUUAAUGAAACUAUUGUUGAUGCAAAAGAACUAGCUGAUAAAAUUGACGUUGAUUCUAAUUUUAAAUCAACAAUACCACGACACCGAGUAAGAAGAAAGAAAACCAACUUUUUAUAUGAAGUGCGAGAUAAACUGAUCAAAGAUCCCAAAAAAAAUAUAAGUUAGACUUUUUUUAUUUUACAAUUGAUCAAGUACUGAAUGCACUGGAUACUAGAUUUGAAUAACUUAAGCAAGCAACAUAGUAAUUAUUAUCAAUUUUUGUAUUAUACGACUUAAAAAACAUGUCUAAAGAAACUAUUGAAACACUGCAAGGAUUUGCAAAUAAUUUUAACUGAUGGCGAUUCUGUUGACAUUAAUGGAAUAGAAUUAGUGGAGGAAAUUUCUGCAGUUUUUGCGCUUUUGGGAAAAAAUCAAGCAUAAAAGAAAUAAUGAAAUUAAUAACAACUUUAAAUUUUGCUCCAAACAUUAGUGCCGCCUUAAGAAUUUGUUUACUCUACUAGUAAAUGUAGCAAGUGGAGAUAGAAGUUUCUCUAAAUUAAAAUUAAUAAAGAACUUCUUACGAUCUACUUCCAUACAAAAUAUUUUUAAAGAUUUAGCCAUUUUGGCUAUUGAGCAUGAAAUUACUGACCUAAUUAACACAAAAGAGAUAAUAAAAGGUUACAGAACUUAAAGUGAGAAAAAAAUUAUUUUUAUGAUUUUGGUGAGUUUCUUUAGACAUGUUAAUUUUGUUCCCUUUUAAUCAUAUAAUUUUUGUUAUUUGAUUAUGCGGUAAUGUAGAAUUUACUUGUUUAGGAGUAUUGGAAAGAUAUUUUUUCAUAUGUUCUGUUUUGUAUUGUUAAUUUUGUGUUGUGGUAUCUAUCUUAACAAAGAAAUUUUGUAUUUUUUAUAAUCUAAAAUCAUUUUUAUUAUUAUCAAAUAAAGGCAAGUAAAGUAAAAA
Diorhabda carinulata is the source of this 3265-nucleotide long non-coding RNA. RefSeq lists it as uncharacterized. The record is from RefSeq and is a predicted model, not a curated record. The transcript is spliced from 3 exons. Lineage: Eukaryota; Metazoa; Arthropoda; Insecta; Coleoptera; Chrysomelidae.